RNAcentral lists this unclassified non-coding RNA (302 nucleotides) under rhizosphere metagenome. Its description in RNAcentral is "partial ribosomal RNA internal transcribed spacer region". The record is from RNAcentral.
GUAGGUGAACCUGCGGAAGGAUCAUUAACACGAUUAUUAUCCAAUAUCAAAACCAAACGUGAGCUUUUCCCCUCCCUAUUAAAAAUAAUCUAAUUUUGAUUGUUUUUCUUAGGCUAACCUUUUAUCAUUUUUUCAACCCCUUUAAACUUAACUAGUUUGUAUACUGUUUCACUAUAGUAUCAAACUGCUAACACUAAAAAAGGCUUGUUAUUAUUCCUUAAUUGGGAUUAAAGCCCUUUUUUCGAUUUUACGAAAAAUAAAACUAGAAAGAACAACUCUUAACAAUGGAUAUCUAGGUUCUC